Molecule: ribosomal RNA, 253 nt
Filed under: uncultured bacterium
Lineage: Bacteria
Description: partial 16S ribosomal RNA
Rfam family: Bacterial small subunit ribosomal RNA
Source: RNAcentral
UACAGAGGUCUCAAGCGUUGUUCGGAUUCAUUGGGCGUAAAGGGUGCGUAGGCGGCGAGCUAAGUUUGGUGUGAAAUCCUGGGGCUUAACCUCAGAAUUGCACUGAAUACUGGUUUGCUAGAGGACUGGAGAGGAGAUUGGAAUUCACGGUGUAGCAGUGAAAUGCGCAGAUAUCAGGAGGAACACCGAUGGCGAAGGCAGGUCUCUGGGCAUUAACUGACGCUGAGGAGCGAAAGCAUGGGGAGCGAACAGG